Ipomoea nil (Japanese morning glory) is the source of this 72-nucleotide transfer RNA. It matches the Rfam family "tRNA". From Rfam's summary of the family: Transfer RNA (tRNA) molecules are approximately 80 nucleotides in length. Their secondary structure includes four short double-helical elements and three loops (D, anti-codon, and T loops). Further hydrogen bonds mediate the characteristic L-shaped molecular structure. tRNAs have two regions of fundamental functional importance: the anti-codon, which is responsible for specific mRNA codon recognition, and the 3' end, to which the tRNAs corresponding amino acid is attached (by aminoacyl-tRNA synthetases). tRNAs cope with the degeneracy of the genetic code in two manners: having more than one tRNA (with a specific anti-codon) for a particular amino acid; and 'wobble' base-pairing, i.e. permitting non-standard base-pairing at the 3rd anti-codon position. Lineage: Eukaryota; Viridiplantae; Streptophyta; Magnoliopsida; Solanales; Convolvulaceae. The record is from Rfam.
GUCUCCAUAGUAUAGUUGCAGUGCGUUCGCUUUGUAAGAGAAAGGUCGUGAGUUCAAUCCUCACUAGAGGCU